This 1184-nucleotide ribosomal RNA is filed under the name Chroococcus minor NTDV53. RNAcentral describes it as "bacterial SSU rRNA". It matches the Rfam family "Bacterial small subunit ribosomal RNA", at positions 202 to 1403 of the family's 1533-position model. Lineage: Bacteria; Bacillati; Cyanobacteriota; Cyanophyceae; Chroococcales; Chroococcaceae. The record is from RNAcentral.
GUGAAAAAUUUUCGCCAGAGGAUGAGCCCGCGUCGGAUUAGUUAGUUGGUGGGGUAACAGCCUACCAAGGCGACGAUCGGUAGCUGGUCUGAGAGGAUGAUCAGCCACACUGGGACUGACACACGGCCCACACUCCUACGGGAGGCAGCAGUGGGGAAUUUUGGACAAUGGGCGCAAGCCUGAUCCAGCCAUACCGCGUGAGGGAUGAAGGCUUUAGGGUUGUAAACCUCUUUUCUCAAGGAAAGAUAAUGACGACAGACAAUUGAAGAAUCCCCAUCCUGCUUACUCCGCCCCAGCCGCCGCGGUACUAAGGAGGAUACCGUCGUUCUGAGGAACUGGUGGGCGUACGCGUCCGCGGGAGUCCUGUCUAAUCUGCUCAAAGACUAGAGCUCAACUCUGGAAAGGCAGUGGAAACUGGUAAGCUAGAGUACGGUAGGGGUUGAGGGAAUUCCCAGUGUAGCGGUGAAAUGCGUAGAUAUUGGGAAGAACACCAGUGGCGAAGGCGCUCAACUGGGCCGUAACUGACACUCAGGGACGAAAGCUAGGGUAGCGAAAGGGAUUAGAUACCCCUGUAGUCUUAGCUGUAAACGAUGGAUACUAGGCGUUGCUUGUAUCGACCCGAGCAGUGCCGUAGCCAACGCGUUAAGUAUCCCGCCUGGGGAGUACGCACGCAAGUGUGAAACUCAAAGGAAUUGACGGGGGCCCGCACAAGCGGUGGAGUAUGUGGUUUAUUUGGAUGCAACGCGAGGACCCUUCCCACGGCUUACAUCGUCCGGAACGUUGCCAAAACCCCAUGUGCCUUCGGGAGCCGGAACACAGGUGGUGCAUGGCUGUCGUCAGCAGGUGUCGUGAGAAGAUGGGUUAAGUCCUCCAACGAGGGCAACCCUCAUCCUUAGUUGCCACCAUUAAGUUGGGCACUUUAGGGAGACUGCCGGUGACAAACCGGAGGAAGGUGGGGAUGACGUCAAGUCAGCAUUCCCCUUCCGCCCUGGGCUACACACGCACUACAAUCGUUGGGACAAAGGGCAGCCAACUAGCAAGAGUGAGCGAAUCUCUUCAAACCCAGCCUCAGUUCAGAUUGCAGGCUGCAACUCUCCUGCACGAAGGAGGAAUCUCUAGUAAUCUCAGGUCAGCACACUGCGCGGAAUUUGUUCCCGGGCCCUGUACACACCGCCCGUCACACC